This 925-nucleotide ribosomal RNA is filed under the name Enterobacter cloacae. Its description in RNAcentral is "bacterial SSU rRNA". It matches the Rfam family "Bacterial small subunit ribosomal RNA", at positions 34 to 946 of the family's 1533-position model. The record is from RNAcentral. Lineage: Bacteria; Pseudomonadati; Pseudomonadota; Gammaproteobacteria; Enterobacterales; Enterobacteriaceae.
CGCCGAACCCGCGCACGCUACACAUGCAGUCGAACGGUAGCACAGAGAGCUUGCUCUCGGGUGACGAGUGGCGGACGGGUGAGUAAUGUCUGGGAAACUGCCUGAUGGAGGGGGAUAACUACUGGAAACGGUAGCUAAUACCGCAUAACGUCGCAAGACCAAAGAGGGGGACCUUCGGGCCUCUUGCCAUCAGAUGUGCCCAGAUGGGAUUAGCUAGUAGGUGGGGUAACGGCUCACCUAGGCGACGAUCCCUAGCUGGUCUGAGAGGAUGACCAGCCACACUGGAACUGAGACACGGUCCAGACUCCUACGGGAGGCAGCAGUGGGGAAUAUUGCACAAUGGGCGCAAGCCUGAUGCAGCCAUGCCGCGUGUAUGAAGAAGGCCUUCGGGUUGUAAAGUACUUUCAGCGGGGAGGAAGGUGUUGUGGUUAAUAACCGCAGCAAUUGACGUUACCCGCAGAAGAAGCACCGGCUAACUCCGUGCCAGCAGCCGCGGUAAUACGGAGGGUGCAAGCGUUAAUCGGAAUUACUGGGCGUAAAGCGCACGCAGGCGGUCUGUCAAGUCGGAUGUGAAAUCCCCGGGCUCAACCUGGGAACUGCAUUCGAAACUGGCAGGCUGGAGUCUUGUAGAGGGGGGUAGAAUUCCAGGUGUAGCGGUGAAAUGCGUAGAGAUCUGGAGGAAUACCGGUGGCGAAGGCGGCCCCCGUGGACAAGACUGACGCUCAGGUGCGAAAGCGUGGGGAGCAAACAGGAUUAGAUACCCCUGGUAGUCACGCCGUAAACGAUGUCGAUUUGGAGGUUGUGCCCCUUGAGGCGUGGCUUCCCGGAGCUAACGCGUUAAAUCGACCGCCUGGGGAGUACGCCCGCAAGGUUAAACUCAUAUGAAUUUGCGGGGGGCCCGCCCCAAGCGGCGGAGGCUGUUGGU